Molecule: long non-coding RNA, 1151 nt
Organism: Equus caballus (horse)
Lineage: Eukaryota; Metazoa; Chordata; Mammalia; Perissodactyla; Equidae
Source: Ensembl
CCAGGAUAUUGCUGCAAAGGUAUGCUGGGGAGGGUGGAUUCUGGCUCCCACACUUUAGAGAGCUCUGCAAGGUGAGGUCAGUCCCCGCCUGCCAAUGAAGCGACUCCUAAUUACUCAGGAAUGCUCAGCCUGGGCUGGCUGGCACACAGGGCAAUAAAUCUUAGUGGAAAGACCAGACACCUGGUUUUCAGAUCAGGAUGAAUUUUCUAGGUCUAGUUAAAUUAAUUGUCUUGUUUCUCAAUCUUCACACAAUCUUUGGAGAACAAGUACAACCUAAAUUAUGAGACCAGGCAUUGAUUUGUGCUUAGCUUUCCUCAGUGGACUGGAGGCGACUGGGGGUUUACAAAGCAAAGCAAGCUAUUGUUAAUGAGAAUACAAUGUAUAUGUGCAAUCACUCCCAUUAUUUACAAUGAUAUCUGAUGGAGCUUACUGUACGUGAUUCUUACAUCCUCCCAUGUGGUGGGUAAACGAUAAAUAGAAGAGAGAAGCUGCAGGGCACAGAGCUGCUCCACUCUCAUCAAGAAACACCUUCAGUCGAGGAGACAGAGAACACCAGAUAAUGUUGGCUUGUUUGCAGGGGUGAUAUUUUUCCCAGUUACUGUCGCUUUCUCUCUGUAGACUUCCUCUUGUCUUAUUGACCAGAAUUAGGACACACGGCCAGUCCUAGCUGCGAAGAAAGCUUGGAAAUUGGAGGGUAAGAUUAUUAUAAGCACUUGGACCAGUCAUGAUCCAUGACCAGGAACUGGGCCCACUGCCACCCACACAAAGUCAUGGUUCCAUCAGCAAGAGAGAAGGGGGAAAUUAGUCAACAAAAGAUGCAGGGCUUACUUGACUAUAACCUACAGAAGAUGGUUUCUCCGGGCAAUGGAAACUGUUGAAUCUGUACCCAAAAGAAGUUUCAAAUCACAGAAAACCUCUCAGAUCCUUCAAUGAUUCAUAUUAACAACUACAGGGAAAAGAAUAAACCUUCUGGAGAUGACAGAAAUGCUUUAAUUUGGGGGCUAUUUCCAGCCCCUGUAUACUUUUUACUCCAUUCAUGCCACAAAACUGAAGGUCUUGUAAUACUGCCUUUGAUUUACGGAAGCAAAAAAAGAUGACAUUGCUGAAAAGACCCAUUCCUCCUGUGCCUCCUCAUGUAGCUCAGUGUUAAG